Long non-coding RNA from Helianthus annuus (common sunflower), 2334 nucleotides. RefSeq lists it as uncharacterized. The record is from RefSeq and is a predicted model, not a curated record. Lineage: Eukaryota; Viridiplantae; Streptophyta; Magnoliopsida; Asterales; Asteraceae. The transcript has 7 exons.
GGGAUACCAUUAGGGUUUCAACUUCAUUCAUUUCAAAACAUUUCAAAAUCGCCCUUCCCUGUACACCUUUCUCUCUCUCUCUCUGGCGAUUCAGAACGAUUUCACUAGAUCUGCUCCUCUCUUUGGCGAUUCAGGAACGAUUUCACCAGAUCUAUGAAGUUUCAACAAAUCGAUGAAGAUUCUGACCUCCUGGUUCCGUUUUCCGGCUUUUAUUGGCGUUCCCUGCACCUCUCUCUCUCUCUCUGGCGAUUCAGAACGAUUUCACUAGAUCUGCUCCUCUCUCUGGCGAUUCAGGAACGAUCUCACCAGAUCUAUGAAGUUUCAACAAAUCGAUGAAGAUUCUGACCUCCUGGUUCCGUUUUCCGGCUUUUAUUGGCGUUUUUCAACAUUCAUCAAGGGUCAUGGUUUAAAGACUAGAUCUGGUGAAGAAUAAUAAGAAUAUUUGGAAGGAGACAACAAAAUCAUGGAGAAGAAUCAGAUCUCGGUGGUUGGAGUUCCAGAUGCGAUUCCCGUCAAGUAUGUGGAGGUGACCGAGGUUUUAAUUUCAGUAUAGUGGAUAAAUUCCCGUCUUUGUGUGUUCAUGUGAAGUUUCGUACUUAUCAAUUGAAUUUACAAUCUGUCAAUCUAUAUAUGCGCAUACUAAAACUGAAGGCUGCAGCAACAUGGAAAGUUGAUGGAGCAGGAUCAUCAAACAUUACCGAAGGUCAUUUAAGUACCAGCUGCAGGGAACAAUAUAGUAGAAGUUACUAUGCUCCGGAGUUGCCUCAUUUAUCUCAUCUUGGUUUCAGGGGCCCGAUAACACAUCCAUAUUUCAAAUUUUGUAUUACAGAGAUGGACAAAUUUCUUGAAAAGUUUGCCACUAUUAGAAUUCCAGUGUCGAUGGUGGCUCUGUGAUGGUGAAUCCUGGCGGCAUCAUCUGCAAAUAUGUGUGGUCGACAGUGGCGAUCAAUGGGACCAUAAGAGGGCUGAAGCCGGUCUAACAACAACAGCAAUUGGCGGCUACACGGGUGUCAAGAGGCAGCUGAUCUGGUGGUAAUAGGCGGUUGAUCUGGCGGUUAUGUGAGAGAGUGUAAAAGGCUGCAUUUAGUGACCAAACGACAGCGAAGAACAUCGGUAUUGAGCUACUAAAAUAGUGCAGCGAACAGGACAGCAACGUCGUGAAUUCAGGUGCGCUUUUGGGAUCAAAACAUUUAGUGUUUGGGUUCAUUACCGGUUUUCGGGUUCGGGUUGUGUUGUGUUGGGGUUUGUGUCAGAUUUUCAGGUUCGCGCCAUGUUGGGCCAGUAUGGUACAUUUGUUUUAAAAGCUGGUUGAAUAGAAGUCUCAUAUGGGUUUGGCUUAAUAAGGUAACUGUUGAUACAGGGAAUGUAAAGUUUUUAACCCAUUUUUUAUUUUUUAGUUUUGUUAGUACUUGCUUAAUAAGGUAACUGAAAUUAUUUUUUUUGAAUUUCAUAUGCAUGCAUGGUUGUUGUCUACUAAAGAAGUUUGACUACGGACAAGGAGUAUGUUAAUUCCACUGGAAAACCCAUAAAGUUCGGAUCGCAGAGAUAUAACAAAAAAAAGGUUGAGACGAAUCGCAAACUAUGGUUUUUUGAAACAACCAACCAAACUGGUCGGGUUGGGUGGGCCAACCGUGCAAACGCGGCAGAUGAGACCGAAAGAGAUGAGAUUUGUUGCUGAUGAUUGCAUAACAAGCAAGCCGUUCAGGAUUAUGGUAUGCUAGGAGAAGCUUAUAAAACCCAAGAAGCUAUUUAGUCAACAUUUUCAUUUAAAUGAUUGUGGCUGCAGAGACCAUCUUCGGACAGCGGUGAGCAGUGGCGGUGGAUGGUGAUGUUACUCGGAGGUUGCUGGGUUGAUUAUGGGGAACGUUGCAAGUUCCGGUGACCUUUGAUUCAUAUAUCUGGUUGUUAGUGAAGUUAUGGACAUAUCUGAUGAUGGAUAGUGUAAACUAGGUGUUUUUUGAUUCCAAAAAGUUGACCAACGAUCAUUCGUGAAGAGUGUCGCAAGUUCAGUCAGCAGCAUUACUAUAUCAAGCGAAGGUGUAACCGUUGGAUAUCAUACAGAUCCGGUGGCGGCUAUGGUAGAUGUGGUAUGAUUGUGGAGCUAUUCUAAGCAUAUGAAAACAAGAGUGUUUGAUCUGAAAGUUGUAUGAAUUGGUUAUUUGGGGUUAGUUUUAAGUUUCUUUUUUAGUUUUUAAUGUUGUAGUAUCUAACUAUUAAGGUUGUUUUUGUAUGUAAUAUGUGCAUGGCAUAUUGGUUUGUUGGGAGAUUUAAGGUUAAUGUAACUCUUCUCUUUAUGUUUUUCUUUCUAUGAAAGUAUAUGAAAGUAUGGAAACA